RNAcentral lists this ribosomal RNA (424 nucleotides) under uncultured bacterium. Its description in RNAcentral is "bacterial SSU rRNA". It matches the Rfam family "Bacterial small subunit ribosomal RNA", at positions 355 to 776 of the family's 1533-position model. The record is from RNAcentral.
UAAGGAAUAUUGGUCAAUGGAGGCAACUCUGAACCAGCCAUGCCGCGUGCAGGAUGACUGCCCUAUGGGUUGUAAACUGCUUUUGUCAGGGAAUAAACCUUUCCACGUGUGGGAAGCUGAAUGUACCUGAAGAAUAAGGAUCGGCUAACUCCGUGCCAGCAGCCGCGGUAAUACGGAGGAUCCAAGCGUUAUCCGGAUUUAUUGGGUUUAAAGGGUGCGUAGGCGGUCCUAUAAGUCAGUGGUGAAAGACGGCAGCUUAACUGUCGCAGUGCCUUUGAUACUGUAGGACUUGAAUCUAUUUGAAGUGGGCGGAAUAAGACAAGUAGCGGUGAAAUGCAUAGAUAUGUCUUAGAACUCCGAUUGCGAAGGCAGCUCACUAAGUUAGUAUUGACGCUGAUGCACGAAAGCGUGGGGAUCAAACAGG